GUGGUAACUGUGAAAAUUGACAUGUGUUACCAGCUGUCUGGGAUAUUUAGCCUCAAAUUCACAACUUCUCCACCAACACCGGUACUGCUCUAAACACAAAAAAGAAGUAAGAUCUUACAGAACGCUGCAUGAAAUCUGCAACUGUGUGCCACAAUGGUGAGAAUGCCAAGAGUACUUACAUUUGUAGUAACUUCACUAUCUAGAAAGCCAAAGCAAUCAUUACCAAGAGUGCAAUUCCACAGUCAUUUUAGCCUGACAUUAGUACGGGCUCCCACUGAAAAGGGCUGAUUCUAUCCACCACAUACAUCCACCAGCUCUGGAACUGGCGCAGCCAACCACUAAACUCAUGAGAAAAUGGAUCCAACUGAAAGCCAGUUCUUUUGGGGGAAUGACAGAGAGAUAACUAAAUCAGUUUUCUGCUCAACUGAAUGCCUGUUUGUAUCGGAAUAAAGCAAUAUAAGCCAAGGAGA
Pezoporus occidentalis (night parrot) is the source of this 470-nucleotide long non-coding RNA. RefSeq lists it as uncharacterized. The transcript is spliced from 2 exons. The record is from RefSeq and is a predicted model, not a curated record. NCBI's taxonomy places the organism in Eukaryota, Metazoa, Chordata, Aves, Psittaciformes, Psittacidae.